GAUUUAAAUCGCCAUGGCGGGAAAACGUUGACCACAAACUAGGGUAUUAUGCAACGUCAUUUGCAAUGAUAGUUAAUUUGCUGUUACCCAAUCGAAUCGACUAGGAAUGCUGGAAACGUCAUCCUUGCGCAGAUAAAAAAGAAUGCCAAAAGUUAGCUUGAAAUCAAAUACAGAACGUACGAUAGAUAACAUUUGACUCGUCGUUAUGAUUGUUCCUCACUAAUUCGUUCUGUUAUGAAGACGAGUGUUUUAAUUGUUGUUAUAGCUUUAAUUGGAGCAGGCCAGCGCGGAUAAUGCAAAGAUUACAUUAGACAUUGAAA
Long non-coding RNA from Bombyx mori (domestic silkworm), 320 nucleotides. RefSeq lists it as uncharacterized. The record is from RefSeq and is a predicted model, not a curated record. The transcript is spliced from 2 exons. NCBI's taxonomy places the organism in Eukaryota, Metazoa, Arthropoda, Insecta, Lepidoptera, Bombycidae.